Molecule: ribosomal RNA, 440 nt
Filed under: uncultured bacterium
Lineage: Bacteria
Description: partial 16S ribosomal RNA
Rfam family: Bacterial small subunit ribosomal RNA
Source: RNAcentral
CCUACGGGGGGCAGCAGUAGGGAAUAUUGCUCAAUGGGGGAAACCCUGAAGCAGCAACGCCGCGUGGAGGAUGAAGGUUUUCGGAUUGUAAACUCCUUUUGUUAGAGAAGAUAAUGACGGUAUCUAACGAAUAAGCACCGGCUAACUCCGUGCCAGCAGCCGCGGUAAUACGGAGGGUGCAAGCGUUACUCGGAAUCACUGGGCGUAAAGGGCGCGUAGGCGGGAUAGCAAGUCAGAUGUGAAAUCCUAUGGCUUAACCAGAGAACUGCAUUUGAAACUGUUAUUCUAGAGUAUGGGAGAGGUAGGUGGAAUGCUUGGUGUAGGGGUAAAAUCCGUAGAGAUCAAGAGGAAUACUCAUUGCGAAGGCGACCUGCUAGAACAUAACUGACGCUGAUGCGCGAAAGCGUGGGGGGCAAACAGGAUUAGAUACCCGAGUAGUC